This 73-nucleotide transfer RNA is filed under the name Mycobacterium triviale. It matches the Rfam family "tRNA". From Rfam's summary of the family: Transfer RNA (tRNA) molecules are approximately 80 nucleotides in length. Their secondary structure includes four short double-helical elements and three loops (D, anti-codon, and T loops). Further hydrogen bonds mediate the characteristic L-shaped molecular structure. tRNAs have two regions of fundamental functional importance: the anti-codon, which is responsible for specific mRNA codon recognition, and the 3' end, to which the tRNAs corresponding amino acid is attached (by aminoacyl-tRNA synthetases). tRNAs cope with the degeneracy of the genetic code in two manners: having more than one tRNA (with a specific anti-codon) for a particular amino acid; and 'wobble' base-pairing, i.e. permitting non-standard base-pairing at the 3rd anti-codon position. The record is from Rfam by way of RNAcentral. Lineage: Bacteria; Bacillati; Actinomycetota; Actinomycetes; Mycobacteriales; Mycobacteriaceae.
GCGCCGUUAGCUCAGUUGGUAGAGCAGCUGACUCUUAAUCAGCGGGUCGAAGGUUCGAGCCCUUCACGGCGUA